This is a long non-coding RNA of Hippocampus zosterae (dwarf seahorse), 583 nucleotides long. RefSeq lists it as uncharacterized. The transcript has 2 exons. NCBI's taxonomy places the organism in Eukaryota, Metazoa, Chordata, Actinopteri, Syngnathiformes, Syngnathidae. The record is from RefSeq and is a predicted model, not a curated record.
GUCUCAACACGGUGUGCUCGGCUUGAUAGACAGCUGCACUCGCACCUGAGCUGCCAAGGUGAGACACACGAGUGAAAAACACUCACCGGCGACUUGACGUCCUCUUCUCGGUCAUCACUGGAGCAGCUGAGGGCGGUAGUGUUUCACAGCUGUUCUGUUGCCCGCACCGCUAGAAACUUUGCCUGGGAAUUUGUCACUUGAAACAUUUCAGUCAUUGUUUCUGGUCGUGUGUGCAACGUGUAUCCAAGCCUGCAGGAAAACUGUGGAUUUUUGGUUGGUUGUUAAACUGAAGUUUUCAGGCUCGGAUGGAACUAUUGCCAAGUUUGUCGAAAUGAACUACUCUGACCAAAUAUUUAACUUGUUUUAACAUAAACGUGACAUAAGGCCGCACAGUAGCUAUGGUUGUGGUGUUGCCACAUGCAGACCGUGUGUGUGUGCGGGUGUCUAUGCGAGUAUGUGUGGUAUGCUGGUGAACCAGCUCAACUUAAUGAUGAUGAUGAUGGGUGUAACCCAUUCCCUCUACAGAGGUUUGAUUUACUGAGAAUGCUGUCAAUUAAAGAGAAUGAUCGGACAAGCCUUAGAA